GCUGGCGNCGUGCUUANACAUGCAGUCGAGCGGUAAGGCCCUUCGGGGUACACGAAGCGGCGAACGGGUGAAGUAACACGUGAGCAACCUGCCCCUGACUCCGGGAUANGCGGUGGAAACGCCGUCUAAUACCGGAUACGACCCUCCGCCUCAUGGUGGUGGGUGGAAANGUUUUUCGGUCGGGGAUGGGCUCGCGGCCUAUCAGCUUGUUGGUGGGGUAACGGCCUACCAAGGCGAUUACGGGUAGCCGGCCUGAGAGGGCGACCGGCCACACUGGGACUGAGACACGGCCCAGACUCCUGCGGGAGGCAGCAGUGGGGAAUAUUGCGCAAUGGGCGAAAGCCUGACGCAGCGACGCCGCGUGGGGGAUGACGGCCUUCGGGUUGUAAACCUCUUUUACCACUCACGCAGGCUCCACGUUUUCGUGGGGUUGACGGUAGGUGGGGAAUAAGGACCGGCUAACUACGUGCCAGCAGCCGCGGUAAUACGUAGGGUCCGAGCGUUGUCCGGAAUUAUUGGGCGUAAAGAGCUCGUANGCGGCGUGUCGCGUCUGCUGUGAAAGACCGGGGCUUAACCCCGGUUCUGCAGUGGAUACGGGCAUGCUAGAGGUAGGUAGGGGANNNCUGGANNUUCC
RNAcentral lists this ribosomal RNA (634 nucleotides) under Nocardiopsis sp. BASZUN0803. RNAcentral's name for it is "bacterial SSU rRNA". It matches the Rfam family "Bacterial small subunit ribosomal RNA", at positions 35 to 672 of the family's 1533-position model. Lineage: Bacteria; Bacillati; Actinomycetota; Actinomycetes; Streptosporangiales; Nocardiopsidaceae. The record is from RNAcentral.